UACGGAGGGUGCGAGCGUUGUCCGGAAUCACUGGGCGUAAAGGGCGCGUAGGUGGCUUUUCAAGCGCGCGGUGAAAGCCCGGGGCUCAACCCCGGGUCGGCCGUGCGGACUGGGAGGCUUGAGCACUGUAGGGGCGGGGGGAAUUCCGGGUGUAGCGGUGGAAUGCGUAGAGAUCCGGAAGAACACCGGUGGCGAAGGCGGCCCGCUGGGCAGGAAGGCUCGCAAGAGCCGGCUGACACUGAGGCGCGACAGCGUGGGGAGCAAACAGG
RNAcentral lists this ribosomal RNA (269 nucleotides) under uncultured bacterium. RNAcentral describes it as "partial 16S ribosomal RNA". It matches the Rfam family "Bacterial small subunit ribosomal RNA", at positions 524 to 776 of the family's 1533-position model. The record is from RNAcentral.